UAAGAGGUCCUGCCUGCCCAGUGACCAUGUGUUCAACGGCCGCGGUAUUUUAACCGCGCAAAGGUAGCGUAAUCAUUUGUCUUUUAAAUGUAGACCUGUAUGAAUGGCGCGACGAGGGCUUAACUGUCUCCUUUUUCCAGUCAAUGAAAUUGAUCUCCCCGUGCAGAAGCGGAGAUGACCACAUAAGACGAGAAGACCCUGUGGAGCUUUAGACACUAAACAGACAAUAGUACCUCCCUACAAAGAGAUAAACCUACUGACCCCUGCCGCUAUGUCUUUGGUUGGGGCGACCUCGGAGAACCACAAAACCCCCGUGUGGAACAGGAACAACUUACCUUUUCUUACAACCCAAAACCAAGAGUUACCACUCUAAUUAACAGAACUUCUGACCAAUGAGGAUCCGGCUUAUGCCGAUCAACGAACCAAGUUACCCCAGGGAUAACAGCGCAAUCCUCUUCUAGAGUCCCUAUCGACAAGAGGGUUUACGACCUCGAUGUUGGAUCAGGGCUCCUAAUGGCGCAGCCGCUAUUAAGGUUCGUUUGUUCAACGAUUGAAGCC
This 558-nucleotide ribosomal RNA is filed under the name Stegastes variabilis (cocoa damselfish). RNAcentral describes it as "partial 16S small subunit ribosomal RNA". It matches the Rfam family "Bacterial large subunit ribosomal RNA", at positions 1846 to 2595 of the family's 2925-position model. The record is from RNAcentral. Lineage: Eukaryota; Metazoa; Chordata; Actinopteri; Pomacentridae.